Long non-coding RNA from Gasterosteus aculeatus aculeatus (three-spined stickleback), 3816 nucleotides. NCBI's taxonomy places the organism in Eukaryota, Metazoa, Chordata, Actinopteri, Perciformes, Gasterosteidae. The record is from Ensembl.
GAAAGACACGACAAUAACAAAUCUACUGCAGUAACCUGGCGACACACUGUGCAGCAAGGCUUGCCCCAGGCUGUUCAAACAGCGUUGGAGGGAGUAGUGGGACUGGACGACAUGGAUGAAAUCACAUGGAGAGACCAUCUAACCCACUUCUACAAAAUACAGAGAGCUGCGGAGACAAGGAGGCAAGAAGAACUGAGGACGAUGACGCAUCGACUCCUGGAGAUCCAACUGGCAGCAGCAGAUGCAGAAGCAACGAAAAAACAGAGAGUCAGGAAACAACUGUCGGUGAGAGAUGAACAACCUCAAUACCCCGUUCCUCCAGAGGCCCAAUAUCCAGCCCCAGCAGUCAGAGACCGUUCAAUGGUUGACCAGCAACCACCACCUCAGCGCAGAGGCAGAGGACGUGGAAAUAAUAGGGGAAGAGGAGAUGAAUGCUACUUAUGCGGACAGAUGGGUCAUUGGUCAAGAAUAUGUCCAACGAACAUGCAGUUCAGUGCAGCUCCUCCACGGUCUUCCCGUCAAAUGCAGCCCCGGCAGGACCAGAGGGUCUAUCUCACCUCCACCCCCUCAUGCAAACCCCACAGCAGACGAGGCCCUAAAACAACUAACUGGUGACACACCGACCCCCGCUGCUUUCCAACAGCUCAGAUAAGCACCCUCAGUCUCUACGGUGUACGACUCACAUUCCAGGUAGAAAAGGGAGACUGGAGAUUACAGACGGCUGAGAGUGUCAGCUCAAACUAGACUUAAACCCGUAGGGAAGAUUGAUUUUAAAAAGGGGAAAUCAGUCAUUGAAAUUAAGAGAUAAGGUUGUGUAAGAUUUAAAUGAGGAAUGAAGGUGAUAAGGAAUUAGGAGAGUUGUUGUAUAUAUUGUCGAUUUUUUGGAUUAAUGUUUGUAGUUUUUUGAGUUUUCUCCUGAAUUCAGAGAUGGGCGGUAAAUUGUUGAGUGCUGUUAUUGAGUGUAUAGUGCACGAUACACUUGAUACAGUAUCUUGAUGAUUGAAGCAAAUGUCUGAUCAAAGGAACAUUUAUAGCACCAGAUCACGAAAUAUGGAAAUUUGUUACCGACGGUCAUCCUGUAAUGUUCAACAAGUAGUACACCCUUACAUUUGGAUACGCUAACCAUGAGAGGUUGGUGAUCUAUCAUUAAUGAAUGAAUGGAUUGGAUCAAACUCAGCACGUGCUUUUGGGCUGAAGAGCAAUAAAAGUGGAGAUUAACACUGGAGGGGGGUCUGGAACAGAUGGGUCUGAUGCUAAGUUGAUUUAUUAUCUCCUGGUACUAUUUGGGAUCAAGGGACUCACAAUCUUCAUUGUUGUUUUAUGACCCUGAAGGGUUUGGAGAACCUUUUGUUUAUAUUACAGGGGUUUGAGGAUCACAUUCUGAUACAUUGAUUGAAGUUUUAGAGACUGAUACUGCAAAUGCUCGACCACUUGUGAAAGUGGUCGCAAAGGUCAGCAAAUUGACAGUAAUGAUGGAGGCCUUCAGUGAGGCCAUCGAAUGGUUUAUUUUAAUGGGGAAGUGGUAAAAAUGGGAAAACAGGUUGAAGAGUUAUGCAGUAAUGCAUAGGUUUUCAAAGGUGAUGACUCAUCAUGACAGAGCAAACAGGCUGAAGGUAAAAGGAGAAGAAAUUGACUGUGAGGGUGAGAAUGAGAGGUAACAUUUUUGUGUAAACUUGGUAUGAGCAGAUUGCUUUGAGGUUAGACUGAACAAAGAGAACUUGGUUGGUCAAUUAGUUCAUGAAGACAUGGAACAGUCAUACACCAUGAGGGUGAGACCUACAAGCAAAACCUCAAAGGGAUCAUUGAACGGGGACACGAAGGCAAUGUUGGUGUUAAUUUUUCAUGAGUUGACUAUGGGGGUCAAUAAUCAGUUAUGUCGAAGAUUCCAAAUUUCUAUAAAUAAAUGGCUCCUCAAAUCGGUUGGAAACAAGGCCGUUUGAGAAAGGCAAUUUUCCAAAACAAUGUGUAAAUACUUUAGGAGCAGAUAAAGAUAUGCAGAGGCAUUCUUUACGUCAACGCAUCACAUUCUUCAUUCAGCUGAGGCUCUAAUCCAAAGUGACUUGCAGGAAGUGAAUUUGAACAAGAGGGAACAGAACCAGAACAGCAAGAACAAAGAAGAGAUUUCUCCUUCUAAGAAAGCAACAUUUGUGAACAUCAGGAGUCAGGACAAAUGAUGACUUUGUUGGGAGUUUAGCUCCCAGUAGGAGAAACAAUAGGCAGAUGCUGAGAUGGGAGUGAAUUAGGGACGAGGAUAGAUUUCAAAGGGGAUGCAGAGGUUGAAAGGUGAUGGCGACUCAUGGUCGAGGAGGGAGUGAGCAGACCUCCCUAAACCAACGACUGAUAAGAGGAGGAAUCCUGGGGAAGUGUCGGAGCCAUAAAAUCCAUCCACAGGUUGUAUUUCAUCUCAGAGUCACCCAACAGGUUUAAGAAUCACACACGGUUGGUAUGGGGGGAAUUAUUUCACUAUGAUAAAUUUACUGACACAUUUUUCCUCGAAUACAUGUGCAUGGCAAUUGUUAACUAUGUUUUGCUUUUCAGUAGGAGCAGGCGACUCCAAUGCGAGACGGUCCAGAUCGGCAACGACACCCAGUAGAAACGGCGUUGUGGGGGUUUUACGACGUUGUUGGAUAAGCCAGGAGGUGGCCUGGGGGUGAUUAGCAUCACCAAAGGCUAUGUGAAGGGAUGCUUUUACACCUACCUCAACAUGAGGGACUGGGGGAGAACAGAAUACAACUAGAGUAUCUGCCGAUUUGGGAACAUUAUUGUAUGCAGUGAAAAACACAAUCAUAAGAUUCUAAACAACAGAGUUGUGUAGAUGACAUUGAUUUAAGGUGUUAAGAAGAACAUACAGUCGUUCUAUCAAUGAAACAACUCACAAAUUGAUUAGAAUGUUUUUAGGAAAACACUAGAUGUUAGAGUUUAGCUACUCAAGUGGCAUUUUACGGAUAACAGCAGACGAUGGCCAACGCAGGAAGAUCCAACCUGAACUUUUCUUCCUGGAACGAAUGUGUAAUGACAUUGCUCUUCUCAUACACAGGCACAAGGACUGAUGAGACACACAGAUGAUACAAUUACUCCACAUUAAAAGAAAUAGCUAAAACUGGGAAAUAAGUGGGUAAAAGGUUGAGUUCCAGUUAUGUUUAAAUAUGCACACACUAGAUGGUAGAACUUGUUUGCUUGAAGAGUUUGGUAAACCAGAAGAAAGAGCAACAGGAAUUGGGAGAGCACACACACACACACACACUCACACGCACAUCUAGACACACCUACACACACACGCACACACAUAGCUGCACCACUUGUGCUUCUCUAUUCAACAGCCGAUUGGGGAAUCUUGUCCUAAUGGGACCUCCGGUUAGCAGAGCAGUCUGCUCACAGGAACUGAGGUGAUCCGAGGUCCAAGGAGGGAGCGUGAAGCUUAAUCACACGUCUAGGAUGACAGCUACGUGUCAUCUGACCAAACCGCUGGCAACAACAGAUGUUCCAGCAGAGGAACAUCAAGGAGGAGAAGUAUAGGCACACACAUACAACGAAGGAAUCCACAAACACUGAGCUAAUGUGACACACAAUUUCCAGAUUAGAGAAGGAACGGGAACUGCUGGGACACUUGAUAAACACAUAUGAUAAGAAUGUUCAAACAAACAUACGCCAACGAUAUUACAGUAACAGAACUUGAGGAUUUUGAAUUCAGAGCGGCUAUUCGGUUGCAAUGACCAAGCAUCACCAAGAUAAAACUAAGCAGCAUUAGACACAUUCACGGGGGAACAUUUGGACAGAAGGAGGGGAGAGCGGUUUUGGCUUAUCACAGUUCUAAAU